RNAcentral lists this transfer RNA (94 nucleotides) under Burkholderiaceae bacterium. RNAcentral describes it as "tRNA-Ser". It matches the Rfam family "tRNA". Rfam says of the family: Transfer RNA (tRNA) molecules are approximately 80 nucleotides in length. Lineage: Bacteria; Pseudomonadati; Pseudomonadota; Betaproteobacteria; Burkholderiales; Burkholderiaceae. RNAcentral also lists the same sequence under 3 other names. The record is from RNAcentral.
GGAGACGUGGCCGAGUGGUCGAAGGCACUUCCCUGCUAAGGAAGCAUAUGGGCUUAAACCUGUAUCGAGGGUUCGACUCCCUCCGUCUCCGCCA